AUUGAACGCUGGCGGCAUGCUUUACACAUGCAAGUCGAACGGUAACAGGGAGCUUGCUCCGCUGACGAGUGGCGAACGGGUGAGUAAUGCAUCGGAACGUACCGUGUAAUGGGGGAUAACGUAGCGAAAGUUACGCUAAUACCGCAUACGCCCUGAGGGGGAAAGUGGGGGACCGCAAGGCCUCACGUUAUACGAGCGGCCGAUGUCGGAUUAGCUAGUUGGAGGGGUAAAGGCCUACCAAGGCGACGAUCCGUAGCGGGUCUGAGAGGAUGAUCCGCCACACUGGGACUGAGACACGGCCCAGACUCCUACGGGAGGCAGCAGUGGGGAAUUUUGGACAAUGGGCGCAAGCCUGAUCCAGCCAUGCCGCGUGAGUGAAGAAGGCCUUCGG
RNAcentral lists this ribosomal RNA (391 nucleotides) under uncultured bacterium. RNAcentral's name for it is "bacterial SSU rRNA". It matches the Rfam family "Bacterial small subunit ribosomal RNA", at positions 30 to 421 of the family's 1533-position model. The record is from RNAcentral.